GACCAACCCUUAAAGACUGCUGCAUCUUUAGGAUAUUCUAGUCCAACAUCGAGGUCACAAACUUUCUUUUCGAUAAGGACUCUCAAAGAAAAUUAUGCUGUUAUCCCUAUGGUAACUAAUUCCAUUAAUCAGAAUUCCUGGAUCAAAACCUGUGGGUGUGAAAGUAAUAAAGAAGCUUUGUUUGUUCCUUAGUCGCCCCAACCAAAAUUUAAAGCGGAUUAAUAUUUAGGGUUAUAUAUUAUUUUCUGCUUGUUUCUUUAAAGCUCAAUAGGGUCUUCUUGUCUAUCAAUAGAAUUUAGGUUUCUUCACCUAAAAAUCAAGUUCUAGAAAUUUACAUAGAGACAGCUUUGCUCACGUCAAACCAUUCAUACUAGCCCUCAAUUAUAGGGCAAAUGAUUAUGCUACCUUUGCACGGUCAGAGUACCGCGGCCGUUGAAAACUUAAUUCACUGGGCAGGUCCGACUC
Molecule: ribosomal RNA, 465 nt
Filed under: Naria irrorata
Lineage: Eukaryota; Metazoa; Mollusca; Gastropoda; Littorinimorpha; Cypraeidae
Description: Erosaria irrorata partial 16S large subunit ribosomal RNA
Source: RNAcentral